Molecule: non-coding RNA, 76 nt
Organism: Podarcis lilfordi (Lilford's wall lizard)
Lineage: Eukaryota; Metazoa; Chordata; Lepidosauria; Squamata; Lacertidae
Source: the annotation of a GenBank genome assembly
GGCCAUCUGAGAGCUCAUUUGGUAGAGCAUGAUACUCUUCAUCUCAGGGUCAUGGAUUUGAGCCUCAUGUUGGGCA